AGUUAAGUGACCUGCGUUCCGGCUUACCUCUGAGUGAUGGGCCUACUGCAGAGCCCGUCUCCCACCACAGUGCUGGCCCAGAAUUUUUUAUACGAACUAGUUCGUAACUAAACGUUGGAAGCAUCACCAUAUUGCCAGUGAGAAGCCCAGAUUAUUCAUCAGCAUGGCUACCUGCUAAUGAAUCAUUGUGGCAGGCCACAACUGUUCCAUCUAACCAUCGAAAUAACCAUAUCAGGAGACACAGUAUAGCUUCUGACAGUGGAGACACUGGCAUUGGAACUUCCUGUUCUGAUAGCGUGGAAGAUCAUUCAACUUCAAGUGGCACAUUAUCUUUUAAGCCUAGUCAAUCAUUGAUUACUCUUCCUACUGCCCAUGUGAUGCCGUCUAAUUCCAGCGCUUCAAUUUCCAAACAUAGGGAAUCAUUGACACCAGAUGGCUCAAAAUGGAGUACAAGCCUCAUGCAAACAUUGGGAAAUCACAGUAGGGGGGAGCAGGACUCUUCACUAGACAUGAAGGACUUCCGGCCACUUCGGAAAUGGUCAUCUUUAUCCAAACUCACUGCCCCGGAUAACUGUGGCCAGGGUGGCACUGUAUGCAGAGAAGAGUCAAGGAAUGGUUUGGAGAAGAUAGGGAGGGCUAAGGCUUUAACAUCACAACUGAGGACAAUUGGGCCUAGCUGUUUACAUGAUAGUAUGGAGAUGCUUAAGUUAGAGGACAAGGAAAUAAAUAAAAAACGGUCAUCAACUCUGGACUGCAAGUAUAAAUUUGAGAGCUGUAGCAAGGAGGACUUUAGAGCCUCUUCCUCUACUCUUAGGAGACAAACUGUAGACAUGACAUAUAGUGCCUUACCUGAAAGCAAGCCCAUUAUGACAAGCUCAGAGGCUUUUGAACCUCCAAAAUAUUUAAUGCUUGGUCAACAGGCAGUAGGUGGAGUUCCCAUUCAGCCUUCCGUAAGGACUCAGAUGUGGCUUACAGAGCAGCUGCGGACAAAUCCUUUGGAAGGUAGAAAUACAGAGGAUUCUUACAGUUUAGCUCCUUGGCAACAGCAGCAAGUUGAAGACUUUCGACAAGGAAGUGAAACACCAAUGCAGGUAAGGCGCAAAAUCUAGUGUUUCCACCCUCCAGUGGAUGUUAUGAGUACAGUAGCACACUUGCAGUAAGCAUAUAACAAGUGUCCACAGAUUGUUUUGCUUUUCCUUUUCCCUGCAAGUUAAUAGGCAGAAAUGUUACAAACCCAAAAAGUGUUGUUGAUAAACAAAACUUACAAAGCAUUUGAGACUAAUUAACAUGAAAAUCUGAAAACCUUGUACCUAGCUUGUUCCUUCCUUUUCAUUUGUUAAAUGGGCAUAAAAAUAAAGCAAAACAUACUCAAUCUAAAGAAACUUGGAAACAGAAACAAAAAAGCUAGCAUAGGUAUAAUAGAAAGAGCAUCAACUUGGCCAUACAAGGUCUUAGAUUUUGUGUCUGGUUCUGAUAGAUUUAGAACCUGGAUGAUUUUUUCACUUAAUUUCUCUGGGCCUCAGUUUCUUCAUCUGUACAAUGAGAAGGUGGAACUAUAGUCAUUUGUAAAGUUUUGGUGAUACAUGAUGU
Molecule: small RNA, 1590 nt
Filed under: Pongo abelii (Sumatran orangutan)
Lineage: Eukaryota; Metazoa; Chordata; Mammalia; Primates; Hominidae
Description: retained intron
Source: RNAcentral